Molecule: long non-coding RNA, 741 nt
Organism: Prosopis cineraria
Lineage: Eukaryota; Viridiplantae; Streptophyta; Magnoliopsida; Fabales; Fabaceae
Exons: 3
Source: RefSeq, a predicted model, not a curated record
CUCUGCCCUAUGCUCUGAUCGUGAGAGGGUUUGAGCUAGGCGCAUGUGUUUUCCAGCUAAUGAGAGUGUUUGGAUGGUGAUGGAUCAUCUCUUCGAUUUGCAAUCUCGUGGUGAAUCACUCAGAUCUGGCUUCCUUGUGUUGCGGUGGAGCAUGAAGUCUGACAAAGCAUACAAUGAUGAUGAAGAUGAAGAGGAUAAAAAUAUCAUUCAGCAUCAUGGCGUGUGUUGAUCUAUGCCUACUAAAUCAACGAUAUACCAAAGGUUUAUUCAAUCUUAUCCAAGGGUUCCUGAUGCAGCCUAACCUAAAACAUUAACCACCCUCUAUUGCUAGCAAAAAUGACUUCUGACGAGGCAACAAAAUCCUGUCCAUUCAUAUAUGAUGUCAAGCCAGAACAUGCAUCUACGGGUGCUUUCGAUGGCUAGUCUUGCAGUCAUGGCUGGCACCAUGUUUCCAGUCUAUUACGAACCCACAAGUCUAUGGUUUUGAUGUUUGUGACAAUGUAAGCUAACUGGUGAGAUCGUGAAGCCUAAUAUAAUUUAUGUUGGCGUUGAGUGUGGAGAUAAUCUAGAUGCUGUCAUGAGUACAAAUUCAAAGAGAAAACCUAUACCAAAAGACUAGGUUGUUGGGUUAAAGAGCCUCUCACACUAAGCUCACUUCACUUGUGAGGCUUGCCAAUGUAGGACUCAUGGUAGAUUCUUUAUUGAAUUCUCAUAAUCGCUUGUUAAUCUUUUGUUACCAAA